RNAcentral lists this transfer RNA (93 nucleotides) under Bdellovibrionales bacterium. RNAcentral describes it as "tRNA-Sec". It matches the Rfam family "Selenocysteine transfer RNA". The record is from RNAcentral. Lineage: Bacteria; Pseudomonadati; Bdellovibrionota; Bdellovibrionia; Bdellovibrionales.
GGGAGAGGAUGGGCCACUGGUGGGCCUCCCGGGCUUCAACCCCGGCGGGCGGCGUGAAUGCGUCGUCGGUGAGUUCGAUUCUCACCCCUCCCG